Molecule: ribosomal RNA, 421 nt
Filed under: uncultured bacterium
Lineage: Bacteria
Description: bacterial SSU rRNA
Rfam family: Bacterial small subunit ribosomal RNA
Source: RNAcentral
GACGAACGCUGGCGGCGUGCCUAACACAUGCAAGUCGAACGGGGUCCAUGAGAGCUUGCUCUCGGAAGACCUAGUGGCGAACGGGUGAGUAACACGUGAGAAACCUGCCUUGGAGUGGGGAAUAACUCGGGGAAACCCGAGCUAAUACCGCAUACCUUCCUUUGAUCGCAUGAUCAGCUGAAGAAAGAAUUUCGCUCCUAGAGGGUCUCGCGGCCUAUCAGCUAGUUGGUGGGGUAAUGGCCUACCAAGGCAACGACGGGUAGCUGGUUUGAGAGAACGAUCAGCCACACUGGGACUGAGACACGGCCCAGACUCCUACGGGAGGCAGCAGUGGGGAAUCUUGCGCAAUGGGCGAAAGCCUGACGCAGCAACGCCGCGUGCGGGAUGACGGCCUGUGGUUGUAACGACUUCUAGCAGGACG